RNAcentral lists this ribosomal RNA (389 nucleotides) under uncultured bacterium. RNAcentral describes it as "bacterial SSU rRNA". It matches the Rfam family "Bacterial small subunit ribosomal RNA", at positions 28 to 417 of the family's 1533-position model. The record is from RNAcentral.
GACGAACGCUGGCGGCGUGCUUAACACAUAGCAAGUCGAGCGGUAAGGCCCUUUCGGGGGUACACGAGCGGCGAACGGGUGAGUAACACGUGGGUGACCUGCCCUCAGCUCUGGGAUAAGCCUGGGAAACCGGGUCUAAUACUGGAUAUGACUCCAUGACGCAUGUUGUGGGGUGGAAAGCCUUGUGCGGCUGAGGAUGGGCCCGCGGCCUAUCAGCUUGUUGGUGGGGUGANGGCCUACCAAGGCGACGACGGGUAGCCGGCCUGAGAGGGCGACCGGCCACACUGGGACUGAGACACGGCCCAGACUCCUACGGGAGGCAGCAGUGGGGAAUCUUGCGCAAUGGGCGAAAGCCUGACGCAGCGACGCCGCGUGAGGGAUGACGGCCU